Molecule: ribosomal RNA, 253 nt
Filed under: uncultured bacterium
Lineage: Bacteria
Description: partial 16S ribosomal RNA
Rfam family: Bacterial small subunit ribosomal RNA
Source: RNAcentral
UACGAAGGGGGCUAGCGUUGCUCGGAAUCACUGGGCGUAAAGCGCACGUAGGCGGGUUCUUAAGUCAGGGGUGAAAUCCUGGAGCUCAACUCCAGAACUGCCUUUGAUACUGGGAAUCUCGAGUCCGGGAGAGGUGAGUGGAACUGCGAGUGUAGAGGUGAAAUUCGUAGAUAUUCGGAAGAACACCAGUGGCGAAGGCGACUCGCUGGACAGACAUUGACGCUGAGGUGCGAAAGCGUGGGGAGCAAACAGG